GGGAGGGUAGUCUAGCUUGGUAUGAUUCUCGGCUGGGGGCUGAGUGUUCCAAUCAAGAAGAUUGGUUCAAGUAGAGGUCGCGGGUUCGAAUCCCGUCUCUCCCA
RNAcentral lists this transfer RNA (104 nucleotides) under Promethearchaeota archaeon. Its description in RNAcentral is "Candidatus Lokiarchaeota archaeon (microbial mat metagenome) tRNA-Pro". It matches the Rfam family "tRNA". From Rfam's summary of the family: Transfer RNA (tRNA) molecules are approximately 80 nucleotides in length. Their secondary structure includes four short double-helical elements and three loops (D, anti-codon, and T loops). Lineage: Archaea; Promethearchaeati; Promethearchaeota. The record is from RNAcentral.